Molecule: ribosomal RNA, 427 nt
Filed under: uncultured bacterium
Lineage: Bacteria
Description: bacterial SSU rRNA
Rfam family: Bacterial small subunit ribosomal RNA
Source: RNAcentral
UGGGGAAUAUUGGACAAUGGGCGCAAGCCUGAUCCAGCCAUGCCGCGUGGGUGAAGAAGGCCUUCGGGUUGUAAAGCCCUUUUGUCCGGAAAGAAAUCCUGUCGGUUAAUACCCGGCGGGGAUGACGGUACCGGAAGAAUGAGCACCGGCUAACUUCGUGCCAGCAGCCGCGGUAAUACGUAGGGGGCAAGCGUUGUCCGGAUUUACUGGGUGUAAAGGGUGCUCAGGCGGAUUUGUAAGUCAGAGGUGAAAUCUUACAGCUUAACGUUGAAACUGCCUUUGAUACUGCAAGCCUAGAGUAUGGAAGAGAGUGAUGGAAUAUCUGGUGUAGCAGUGAAAUGCGUAGAUAUCAGAUAGAACACCAAUGGCGAAGGCAGUCACUUGGUCCAUUACUGACGCUAAAGCACGAAAGCGUGGGUAGCAAACA